RNAcentral lists this long non-coding RNA (533 nucleotides) under Dunaliella salina. Its description in RNAcentral is "long non-coding RNA (DSAL_LNC000335)". Lineage: Eukaryota; Viridiplantae; Chlorophyta; Chlorophyceae; Chlamydomonadales; Dunaliellaceae. The record is from RNAcentral.
UCUCCCCUUGUGUUGGCCCUGCUGAAAAUGGUCUUUGUAUUCCACACAGGUGACGGGAGGAAGAAGACUGGGAACAUAAUUCCAAAGAGGCCACCUGCGCCAAAAGCGGGCAACCACGCCUGGCUGGCGAAGCCCUGAGGCAAGUAUUCUUCUACCACUUACAACUCCUUAGAAGUUGCAACGUGCAUGUGAAAAGCUUCUGCCAUAAGAAAAUAAGAGAGAUAGCAUGCUUGCCACUUGGCUGUGUCAUGUAAAGCCUAAAUAAAAGUUUACGUUCCCCACUUUCUUGACCUUCAUAGGAAUGGGAGAGAGGCAGGCGCUCGCGCAGCAGCUVGAGCACAAGCACAGGGAUGUGAGGUCUGCGUUUUUGUGGCAAUUGAUGAUGGGCUGUAUGACAUUGGAAUGAAUCAAAGCGGCAAGUUGGUUUCUCAUUGGCUUCUUUCCUCAGGAGUUUUCAACUGGCUCCACUUUCAGAUGCCGAAUUGCUCGCGCCGCAUCUGUGAGGAACAAUGAUGUUGAAUAUUUGCAGCAAC